RNAcentral lists this ribosomal RNA (432 nucleotides) under uncultured bacterium. RNAcentral describes it as "SSU rRNA". It matches the Rfam family "Bacterial small subunit ribosomal RNA", at positions 26 to 518 of the family's 1533-position model. The record is from RNAcentral.
AGAAUGAACGCUAGCGAUAUGCUUAACACAUGCAAGUUGAACGUUGUUUUCGAAUAAAAAUGAAAACAAAGUGGCGAACGGGUGCGUAACACGUAGGAAUCUGCCAAACAGUUUGGGCCAAAUCCCUGAAUGAAUAAAAGCUAAAAAGCGCUGUUUGAUGAGCCCACGUAGUAUUAGGUAGUUGGUUAGGUAAAGCUGACCAAGCCUACGAUGCUUAGCUGGUCUUUUCGGAUGAUCAGCCACACUGGGAUUGAGAACGGCCCAGACUCCUACGGGGGGCAGCAGUGAGGAAUUUUCGGCAAUGGGGGCAACCCUGACCGAGCAACGGCCGCGUGCAGGAUGACAGUCUUCGGAUUGUAAACUGCUUUUCUCGGGGACGAGUAAGGACGGUACCGAGGAAGAAGCCCCGGCUAACUACGUGCCAGCAGCCGC